ACUCCUACGGGAGGCAGCAGUGGGGAAUAUUGCACAAUGGGGGAAACCCUGAUGCAGCGACGCCGCGUGCGGGAUGAAGGCCUUCGGGUUGUAAACCGCUUUCAGCAGGGACGAAGCGAGAGUGACGGUACCUGCAGAAGAAGCGCCGGCUAACUACGUGCCAGCAGCCGCGGUAAUACGUAGGGCGCAAGCGUUGUCCGGAAUUAUUGGGCGUAAAGAGCUCGUAGGCGGCCUGUUGCGUCCGCUGUGAAAUCCCAGGGCUUAACCCUGGGCGUGCAGUGGAUACGGGCAGGCUGGAGGCAGGCAGGGGAGAACGGAAUUCCCGGUGUAGCGGUGAAAUGCGCAGAUAUCGGGAGGAACACCGGUGGCGAAGGCGGUUCUCUGGGCCUGUUCUGACGCUGAGGAGCGAAAGCGCGGGGAGCAAACAGGAUUAGAUACCCUGGUAGUCCACGCCGUAAACGUUGGGCGCUAGGUGUGGGUCCCUUCCACAGGGUCUGUGCCGCAGCUAACGCAUUAAGCGCCCCGCCUGGGGAGUACGGCCGCAAGGCUAAAACUCAAAGAAAUUGACGGGGGCCCGCACAAGCGGCGGAGCAUGUUGCUUAAUUCGACGCAACGCGAAGAACCUUACCAAGGUUUGACAUGGACGGAAAUCCUCCAGAGAUGGGGGGUCCUUCGGGGCCGUUCACAGGUGGUGCAUGGCUGUCGUCAGCUCGUGUCGUGAGAUGUUGGGUUAAGUCCCGCAACGAGCGCAACCCUCGUCCAAUGUUGCCAGCGGGUAAUGCCGGGGACUCAUUGGAGACUGCCGGGGUCAACUCGGA
Molecule: ribosomal RNA, 818 nt
Filed under: uncultured Actinomycetes bacterium
Lineage: Bacteria; Bacillati; Actinomycetota; Actinomycetes
Description: bacterial SSU rRNA
Rfam family: Bacterial small subunit ribosomal RNA
Source: RNAcentral